This 589-nucleotide unclassified non-coding RNA is filed under the name Talaromyces columbinus. RNAcentral describes it as "sequence contains 18S rRNA gene, ITS1, 5.8S rRNA gene, ITS2, 28S rRNA gene". The stretch from base 227 to 380 matches the Rfam family "5.8S ribosomal RNA". Lineage: Eukaryota; Fungi; Ascomycota; Eurotiomycetes; Eurotiales; Trichocomaceae. The record is from RNAcentral.
UCGUAACAAGGUUUCCGUAGGUGAACCUGCGGAAGGAUCAUUACCGAGUGCGGGUUCUGACGAGCCCAACCUCCCACCCGUGUUUACCGUGACCAUGUUGCCUCGGCGGGCCCACUGAGGCCCAGCCUCGGUCGCCGGGGGGCUUCGUGCCCCCGGGCCCGCGCCCGCCGAAGCGCCCUGGAACCCUUUGUGAAGAGUGAGUCUGAGCGUGAGAUUGAAUCAUUAAAACUUUCAACAACGGAUCUCUUGGUUCCGGCAUCGAUGAAGAACGCAGCGAAAUGCGAUAAGUAAUGUGAAUUGCAGAAUUCCGUGAAUCAUCGAAUCUUUGAACGCACAUUGCGCCCCCUGGCAUUCCGGGGGGCAUGCCUGUCCGAGCGUCAUUUCUGCCCUCCAGCGCGGCUGGGUGUUGGGUGCUGUCCCCCCGGGGACACGCCCCAAAGGCAGUGGCGGCGCCGCGUCGGGUCCUCGAGCGUAUGGGGCUCUGUCACCCGCUCGGGAAGGACUCGCCGGCGCCUGGUCUCCUUCAACUAAUUUUCCGGUUGACCUCGGAUCAGGUAGGGUUACCCGCUGAACUUAAGCAUAUCAAUAA